GCCUAACACAUGCAAGUCGAGCGGCAGCACAAGUAAGUUUACUUAUGAGGUGGCGAGCGGCGGACGGGUGAGUAAUGCCUAGGGAUCUGCCCAGUCGAGGGGGAUAACAGUUGGAAACGACUGCUAAUACCGCAUACGCCCUACGGGGGUAAGAGGGGGACCUUCGGGCCUCUCGCGAUUGGAUGAACCUAGGUGGGAUUAGCUAGUUGGUGAGGUAAUGGCUCACCAAGGCGACGAUCCCUAGCUGUUCUGAGAGGAUGAUCAGCCACACUGGGACUGAGACACGGCCCAGACUCCUACGGGAGGCAGCAGUGGGGAAUAUUGCACAAUGGGGGAAACCCUGAUGCAGCCAUGCCGCGUGUGUGAAGAAGGCCUUCGGGUUGUAAAGCACUUUCAGUAGGGAGGAAAGGGUGAGUCUUAAUACGGCUCAUCUGUGACGUUACCUACAGAAGUAGGACCGGCUAACUCCGUGCCAGCAGCCGCGGUAAUACGGAGGGUCCGAGCGUUAAUCGGAAUUACUGGGCGUAAAGCGUGCGCAGGC
Molecule: ribosomal RNA, 541 nt
Filed under: uncultured bacterium
Lineage: Bacteria
Description: bacterial SSU rRNA
Rfam family: Bacterial small subunit ribosomal RNA
Source: RNAcentral